AGUGUCUGGAUUUAUUGUCAGCAGAUGACAUGGAUCCCUAAGUGGACCAGUCCUUGGCUGGCCUUUCCUUCAGUUUCUGCUCCAUUCUUUCCCCCGGCAUUUCUUAUGACAGGAGGAAUUCUAGAUUAGUAGUUUGAGGUGGGUGUGUUGUCCCUCCCUCAACUAGGGGCCAUGUCUAUCCACUGGAUGUAGUCUCUUCAGGUUCUAUCUCCCCUUUGUUAGGUAUUUUGGCUAAAGUCUUUCCCUUUGGGCCCUGGGACUCUCGAGUGGCUACCCUCACUUCUCCUUACCCCACUGCUACACACCUUUCAAAUUAUUGACCCUCUGUACUUCUUUCCCAUCUUCUCCUAUAUCUAAACUGGUCCCCUUUUUGCUCCUCCUCCUCUCUCUCUUCCAGAAUCCUUUGGAUCUCUGCUUGUCAGAGAUUAUUCUCUUCCUCCUACUGGUUAGUACUGUAGCAUUUACACUUUGGUGUGAUCGUCUUUCUUCUUGGGUUUCAUAGGGUCUGUGAGUUGUAUCAUGGGCAUUUAAUCAUACCUCUCUCGUUGGUUGGUUUUAAUCAUAUCACAUCUUCAAUUUCCUAGGCAUUUUGUCACUAUUUGGCAUGAGCUCCCUUUCCUGGCAUGUGCCUCAAAUUAGAUCAGUCGUUAGUUGGCCACUCCCACAAGUUCUGCUUCUGCAUUGUGUCAGCACAUCUUGCAGUUAAGAUACAAAGUAGGACUCAAAUUUUGUGGAUGGAUUGGUGUCCCAGUCCAACCACCAGAAGCCUUGCUUGUUUACAGUCAAUGGCAUGCCCAGCCUUCAAAUUCUUCUUACCAGGCCUCCUAAUUGAUUCCUGGAAGUUUCUACUGCACUAGGUUUUUAUAUGGCCACUCAAAAUGCCUUUCAAUGACCUCAUACUCUCCUUUCAUUCUUCCCCAAUCACCUGAUCUCUUCUGUCCCCAUCCCUACCCACCCCAAAGAACAUUCCCCAAAAAUCUGUUCUAUUUCUUCUUUCUAAGGAAACCCAUGUGUCUCCCUUAGAGUCUUUCUUGCUAUAUAGCCUUUCUGGGUCUGUAGACGUAGCAUGAGUGUCAAUUACUUAUCAGUUAAAAUGAUCAAUGGGGGAAACUCAAAUGGCUGAGGAGCACACAAAGAGACGUUCAACAUCCUUGGCCGACAGGGAGAUACAAAUCAGUACUACUUUGAGAUUCCAUCUUAACAACUCUCAGGAUGGCUGAGGUUUCACCAUUAUCAAACUCUUGUGCAUUUGAUGCUUGCCUAUGGCGAGGCAGUGGCCCCUACUUGUUUAAGAUGGAGAAACAUCAGGACUACAUUAAGGAAGGAAUGUUUUAUUUAAAGCCUCCGUUGGUAACACACUACCCUAUUUCCCCUUACAAUUUGCUCACUCUAAUUGUUAAAACAUUUCCUGCUAUUUCUGAGCUGUGGAGACCACAAAAAUGUACAGAUGAUGCUCGACCAGGUCUACAUAGAGGAGCAAGUUUGUCUUUCAUCUGUCUUUUAAAAGUGUUUGAGACACUUCUUGGAUUACUUGUUCCUCUUUUACUACUACUUGUUAUUUAGAACUAACCUCCUUAAUGAUACAGGUUUUUAACUGAGUAGUUAGUGAGUCCUCAACGUUCGGAAAGUUUCGAGUGAAAUUCAGCAAGACAGAACACAGACAAGCAAACCCACCAGUAGAUGUAUAGGAAGAAAUGUAGCUGCAAAACUGAUUGCAGUGUGAACUGGGGAUUGUUGGACUCUAUUCCCUGAUUUAUAGUUCUAUUUUAAAGAAUGUAAAAUGCUAUCUCACUUUUAAAAUUUGGGGUAUCUGUUGUAAUUUAAUUUUCAAGGUGAAUUACAAACAAGGAGAAAUUCUUUUAUCAGAUAUUUAGAAACUAAUGGCAUUCUCGAUUAUUUGACAAAACUUUUAAGUACCUAAAUAACAUUAUUAAUCUUAACAGAAUCCAGUUCCAUUUCAGGCAUAAGAUUCUACUUCCGGAGAACAAUUACAUGUGUUAAGAUUUAACUAAAUUUUCCUACUGCCCUGCGUUCUCAAUUUUCUCUGUAUAUCUCAUAUCUCUCAGAGCUCCCAACAUGAGAAAUGAGAAAUGAAAGUAAAUCAAUACCCAGAUGUGUCAAACAUAUUUUAAUCAAGUUUCUCUGUGAAAGAAGACAAUUGUUUUGUGAAGCAUUCCGAACAUAAUAGACUUUAUGAUGGCAUGAAGGAUGAGCUCUGGGGUCCUAUUCAUGUUUGACAUUCUAUAAAGGGCUGAGAAAACACUUUUUGAAGGAAGAUCAACAAGAUAAAAAAGGUUUGAAGCAAAACACACAGUAAGCCAAUAUUCCUGUUCAAAGUGUCACACCAUGAAAUGCCAUCAACAUUUCAAGUUCAGAAGAUGUUAUCGAGAUUUUUAAAUGACAACAAGACAGAAGUACCAUUCGGGGCAUAAGAAUUCCGGUAUUUGGAUUAUUGUUUCUUUUAAGAAAGUGAUCUAACGUGCAUCUCAUUUAUAUUUCAUGCAAUUUUUACAAAAUGUUUACUGACUCACAUUGAUUGAUUUUCAUGGCUGAAGUGUUGCAGAUAUUUCGUUAUUGUUUCCCUAUUAGUAUGAGAUAUGAGAUGUUUGCUGUUUACUUUUACCCAUUUCAUUUACUGUGCUUAUCAUUUAUCAUAUUGGUUUUAUUUACUUUUUAAUCAUUUUUCUUCUGUCUUGUUUUUUUUUAUUUAACCUGAAGUUUCCAAUAAUUACAUGAGUGUAAUGGUUAACUGUGGACACUAAUUUUACCACAGCGAAUAAUAUCUUCAACACUGAUAAAGCAUAAUUGUGAGUAGAAUUUUGAGGCUGUUUCCAGUGUUUGCCCUAUGAAGCUGAAUGGAAUAGGAGAGAGAAUAUGCUGUCAAGUAGCACUCAACAUUAAAUCAUCUGCCAAAGCCAAUAGCUUGUGGAAAUAUGUUAUUAUAGUCAUAUUUCAAUCAGCCAGUCUUGGCCCUGGAUAUUAGACCUCUAGGCCUGGAAAGGGAUCCAUAUCUAG
This 3015-nucleotide small RNA is filed under the name Rattus norvegicus (Norway rat). RNAcentral describes it as "uncharacterized LOC102556510". Lineage: Eukaryota; Metazoa; Chordata; Mammalia; Rodentia; Muridae. The record is from RNAcentral.